This 253-nucleotide ribosomal RNA is filed under the name uncultured bacterium. RNAcentral's name for it is "partial 16S ribosomal RNA". It matches the Rfam family "Bacterial small subunit ribosomal RNA", at positions 524 to 775 of the family's 1533-position model. The record is from RNAcentral.
GACGAACCGUGCGAACGUUAUUCGGAAUCACUGGGCUUAAAGCGCGUGUAGGUGGGGCGGCACGUCGGCCGUUGAAAGCCCCCGGCUUAACCGGGGAAGCGGCGCCGAUACGACCGCCCUCGAGGGACGUAGGGGGGGCUGGAACUUCCGGUGGAGCGGUGAAAUGCGUUGAGAUCGGAAGGAACGCCCGUGGCGAAAGCGAGCCCCUGGACGUUUUCUGACACUGAGACGCGAAAGCGUGGGGAGCGAACGG